This 320-nucleotide ribosomal RNA is filed under the name uncultured bacterium. RNAcentral describes it as "bacterial SSU rRNA". It matches the Rfam family "Bacterial small subunit ribosomal RNA", at positions 28 to 349 of the family's 1533-position model. The record is from RNAcentral.
GACGAACGCUGGCGGCGUGCUUAACACAUGCAAGUCGAGCGGUAAGGCCCUUUCGGGGGUACACGAGCGGCGAACGGGUGAGUAACACGUGGGUGACCUGCCCUUAGCUCUGGGAUAAGCCUGGGAAACUGGGUCUAAUACCGGAUAUGACUCCAUAACGCAUGUUGUGGGGUGAAAGCCUUGUGCGGCUAGGGAUGGGGCCCGCGGCCUAUCAGCUUGUUGGUGGGGUGAUGGGCCACCAAGGCGACGACGGGUAGCCGGCCUGAGAGGGCGACCGGCCACACUGGGACUGAGACACGGCCCAGACUCCUACGGGAGGC